GACGAACGCUGGCGGCGUGCUUAACACAUGCAAGUCGAACGGAAAGGCCUGCUUUCCCUUGUGGAUUGCGGGUACUCGAGUGGCGAACGGGUGAGUAACACGUGAGUUAUCUGCCCCCAACUUGGGUAUAAGCCUGGGAAACUGGGUCUAAUUCCCGAUAGGACUGCAGGGUGGUGCCUGUGGUGGAACACGAUUUUCUAGUGGUUGGGGAUGAGCUGGCGGCCUAUCAGCUUGUUGGUGGGGUAAUGGCCUACCAAGGCGGCGACGGGUAGCCGGCCUGAGAGGGUGGACGGCCACACUGGGACUGGGACACGGCCCAGACUCCUACGGGAGGCAGCAGUGGGGAAUAUUGCACAAUGGGCGGAAGCCUGAUGCAGCGACGCCGCGUGGGGGAUGACGGCCUUCGGGUUGUAAACUCCUUUCGACCGCGAGGAAGCCACCUGGUUGGAAGGGUGGUGACGGUAGUGGUAGAAGAAGCACCGGCUAACUACGUG
RNAcentral lists this ribosomal RNA (494 nucleotides) under uncultured bacterium. RNAcentral's name for it is "partial 16S ribosomal RNA". It matches the Rfam family "Bacterial small subunit ribosomal RNA", at positions 28 to 507 of the family's 1533-position model. The record is from RNAcentral.